CGGCGGACGGGUGAGUAACACGUGGAUAACCUACCUAUAAGACUGGGAUAAUUCGGGAAACCGGAGCUAAUACCGGAUAAUAUAUUGAACCGCAUGGUUCAAUGUGAAAGACGGUUUUGCUGUCACUUAUAGAUGGAUCCGCGCCGCAUUAGCUAGUUGGUAAGGUAACGGCUUACCAAGGCAACGAUGCGUAGCCGACCUGAGAGGGUGAUCGGCCACACUGGAACUGAGACACGGUCCAGACUCCUACGGGAGGCAGCAGAA
This 264-nucleotide ribosomal RNA is filed under the name uncultured Staphylococcus sp. RNAcentral describes it as "partial 16S ribosomal RNA". It matches the Rfam family "Bacterial small subunit ribosomal RNA", at positions 96 to 354 of the family's 1533-position model. Lineage: Bacteria; Bacillati; Bacillota; Bacilli; Caryophanales; Staphylococcaceae. The record is from RNAcentral.